ACAGCAGUAGCCGCGGUAAUACAGAGGGUGCGAGCGUUAAUCGGAUUUACUGGGCGUAAAGCGUGCGUAGGCGGCUUUUUAAGUCGGAUGUGAAAUCCCUGAGCUUAACUUAGGAAUUGCAUUCGAUACUGGGAAGCUAGAGUAUGGGAGAGGAUGGUAGAAUUCCAGGUGUAGCGGUGAAAUGCGUAGAGAUCUGGAGGAAUACCGAUGGCGAAGGCAGCCAUCUGUCCUAAUACUGACGCUGAGGUACGAAAGCAUGGGGAGCAAACAGGAUUAGAUACCCGCGUAGUCCCUGUCUCUUAUAC
RNAcentral lists this ribosomal RNA (305 nucleotides) under uncultured bacterium. RNAcentral describes it as "partial 16S ribosomal RNA". It matches the Rfam family "Bacterial small subunit ribosomal RNA", at positions 508 to 807 of the family's 1533-position model. The record is from RNAcentral.